This is a non-coding RNA of Caenorhabditis elegans, 203 nucleotides long. The record is from Ensembl. NCBI's taxonomy places the organism in Eukaryota, Metazoa, Nematoda, Chromadorea, Rhabditida, Rhabditidae.
AUAUUUCUUAGUUGACUAUUUUGACUAUUUUAUUUUUUUUUGAUAAAAACAAAAAUUACCCAAGUACUGCCAAGGUGGAGCAAGAGGGUACAAGUGUUUUUUUUUUCAAAUUUAAAACACGAAUAAUCCCUACAAUAAUCAAUUCACUACAAAUAUAAGUAAAAAUUAAAAAGUUCAAGUUCGUUAAACCUACUAAGUAUACU